This 532-nucleotide ribosomal RNA is filed under the name Conocybe apala. Its description in RNAcentral is "eukaryotic LSU rRNA". It matches the Rfam family "Eukaryotic large subunit ribosomal RNA", at positions 77 to 609 of the family's 3401-position model. Lineage: Eukaryota; Fungi; Basidiomycota; Agaricomycetes; Agaricales; Bolbitiaceae. The record is from RNAcentral.
CCCCUAGUAACUGCGAGUGAAGCGGGAAAAGCUCAAAUUUAAAAUCUGGCAGUCUUUGAUUGUCCGAGUUGUAAUCUAGAGAAGUGUUAUCCGCGUUGGACCGUGUACAAGUCUCCUGGAAUGGAGCAUCAUAGAGGGUGAGAAUCCCGUCUUUGACAUGGACUACCAGUGCUUUGUGAUGCGCUCUCAAAGAGUCGAGUUGUUUGGGAAUGCAGCUCAAAAUGGGUGGUAAAUUCCAUCUAAAGCUAAAUAUUGGCGAGAGACCGAUAGCGAACAAGUACCGUGAGGGAAAGAUGAAAAGAACUUUGGAAAGAGAGUUAAACAGUACGUGAAAUUGCUGAAAGGGAAACGCUUGAAGUCAGUCGCGUUGGCUGGAAAUCAACCUUGCUUUUGCUGGGCGUACUUUCUAGUCAAUGGGUCAGCAUCAAUUUUGACCAUUGGAAAAAGUGUAGAGGAAUGUGGCAUCUUCGGAUGUGUUAUAGCCUUUGCUCGCAUACAAUGGUUGGGAUUGAGGAAUUCAGCAGGGAAAAAA